Molecule: ribosomal RNA, 484 nt
Filed under: uncultured bacterium
Lineage: Bacteria
Description: partial 16S ribosomal RNA
Rfam family: Bacterial small subunit ribosomal RNA
Source: RNAcentral
AUUGAACGCUGGCGGCAGGCCUAACACAUGCAAGUCGUGCGGUUGAAGGGAGCUUGCUCCUGGCUUCAGCGGCGGACGGGUGAGUAAUGCCUAUGAAUCUGCCUGGUCGUGGGGGAUAACGUCCGGAAACGGUCGCUAAUACCGCAUACUUCCUGUGGGAGAAAGUGGGGGAUCUUCGGACCUCACGCUAUCAGAUGAGCCUAGGUCGGAUUAGCUAGUUGGUGGGGUAAAGGCCUACCAAGGCGACGAUCCGUAACUGGUCUGAGAGGAUGAUCAGUCACACUGGAACUGAGACACGGUCCAGACUCCUACGGGAGGCAGCAGUGGGGAAUAUUGGACAAUGGGCGAAAGCAUGAUCCAGCCAUGCCGCGUGUGUGAAGAAGGUCUUCGGAUUGUAAAGCACUUUAAGUUGGGAGGAAGGGCAGUAAGUUAAUACCUUGCUGUUUUGACGGUACCAACAGAAUAAGCACCGGCUAACUUCGUG